RNAcentral lists this non-coding RNA (168 nucleotides) under Pedobacter rhizosphaerae. Lineage: Bacteria; Pseudomonadati; Bacteroidota; Sphingobacteriia; Sphingobacteriales; Sphingobacteriaceae. The record is from RNAcentral.
UUGAGGGUGACUGCGAAUCUAAAGGAAGUCGGCCGCAAAUAUGGGGGCUUACGAACAGAAACUGUAUGUGAGGCGGAUUUAGUUCGGGUGAUGUUGCCUAACAAACAGAAACCCAAUACUGCACAGGGACUAUUACGUAGAUACAGGGACCACCCAUCUGUCCGUAGU